RNAcentral lists this ribosomal RNA (519 nucleotides) under uncultured eukaryote. RNAcentral's name for it is "SSU rRNA". It matches the Rfam family "Eukaryotic small subunit ribosomal RNA", at positions 1161 to 1696 of the family's 1831-position model. The record is from RNAcentral.
AGGGCACCACCAGGAGUGGAGCCUGCGGCUUAAUUUGACUCAACACGGGAAACCUCACCCGGCCCGGACACGGACAGGAUUGACAGAUCGAUAGCUCUUUCUCGAUUCCGUGGGUGGUGGUGCAUGGCCGUUCUUAGUUGGUGGAGCGAUUUGUCUGGUUAAUUCCGAUAACGAACGAGACUCUGGCAUGCUAACUAGUUACGCGACCCCCCGAGCGGUCGGCGUCCCCCAACUUCUUAGAGGGACAAGUGGCGUUCAGCCACCCGAGAUUGAGCAAUAACAGGUCUGUGAUGCCCUUAGAUGUCCGGGGCUGCACGCGCGCUACACUGACUGGCUCAGCGUGUGCCUACCCUACGCCGGCAGGCGCGGGUAACCCGUUGAACCCCAUUCGUGAUGGGGAUCGGGGAUUGCAAUUAUUCCCCAUGAACGAGGACUUCCCUGAAGUGCGGGUCAUAAGCUUGCGCUUUAUUAACUCGCUGCCCUUUGUACAACCGCUCGUCGCUACUACCGUGUUGGUGG